GUGAGGAAUUUUCCGCAAUGGGCGAAAGCCUGACGGAGCAAUGCCGCGUGAAGGAUGAAGGCCUAUGGGUUGUAAACUUCUUUUCUCAGAAAAGAAUUAUGACGGUAUCUGAGGAAUAAGCACCGGCUAACUCUGUGCCAGCAGCCGCGGUAAGACAGAGGAUGCAAGCGUUAUCCGGAAUGAUUGGGCGUAAAGCGUCUGUAGGUUGUUUAAAAAGUAUUCUGUCAAAGAUUAGGGCUUAACCCUAGAUAGGCAGAAUAAACUUUUAAGCUAGAGUUUGGUAGAGGCAGAGGGAAUUCCCGGUGGAGCGGUGAAAUGCGUAGAUAUCGGGAGGAACACCAAAGGCGAAGGCACUCUGCUGGGCCAAUACUAACACUGAGAGACGAAAGCGAGGGGAGCAAAUGGGAUUAGAAACCCUUGUAGUCC
This 426-nucleotide ribosomal RNA is filed under the name uncultured bacterium. Its description in RNAcentral is "partial 16S ribosomal RNA". It matches the Rfam family "Bacterial small subunit ribosomal RNA", at positions 354 to 796 of the family's 1533-position model. The record is from RNAcentral.